This 391-nucleotide unclassified non-coding RNA is filed under the name soil metagenome. Its description in RNAcentral is "partial contains 5.8S ribosomal RNA, internal transcribed spacer 2, and large subunit ribosomal RNA". The stretch from base 1 to 122 matches the Rfam family "5.8S ribosomal RNA", at positions 35 to 154 of the family's 154-position model. The record is from RNAcentral.
GUUGAAGAACGUAGCGAAAUGCGAUACUUGGUGUGAAUUGCAGAAUCCCGUGAACCAUCGAGUCUUUGAACGCAAGUUGCGCCCGAAGCCAUUAGGCCGAGGGCACGCCUGCCUGGGCGUCACACGUCGUUGCCCCCCCAUCUACUCCUUCGGGAUUGCGGGGGGCGGAUGAUGGCCUCCCGUGCGCCUCGUCGCGCGGUUGGCAUAAAUGCCAAGUCCUCGGCGACGCACGCCACGACAAUCGGUGGUUGCGAAACCUCGGUUGCCCGUCGUGUGCGGUCGUCGCGCAUCGAGGGCUCGAAAAAAUUGUCGGGCUCCGGCUCGGCUUUCAACGCGACCCCAGGUCAGGCGGGGUUACCCGCUGAAUUUAAGCAUAUCAAUAAGCGGAGGA